RNAcentral lists this small RNA (29 nucleotides) under Bombyx mori (domestic silkworm). Its description in RNAcentral is "ovarian small RNA-23357". The record is from RNAcentral. Lineage: Eukaryota; Metazoa; Arthropoda; Insecta; Lepidoptera; Bombycidae.
UAUACUGUGGCGUUACGGAGUCUACCCUU